GCCUGGGUGGCUCACUCAGUUAAGUGUCUGACUUUGGCUCAGGUCAUGAUCUUGAAGUUUGUGGGUUCAAGCCCCAUUUCAGGCU
Molecule: transfer RNA, 85 nt
Filed under: Felis catus (domestic cat)
Lineage: Eukaryota; Metazoa; Chordata; Mammalia; Carnivora; Felidae
Rfam family: tRNA
About the family: Transfer RNA (tRNA) molecules are approximately 80 nucleotides in length.
Source: Rfam by way of RNAcentral